GCGCCCUCGGUCACUUGGCGCGGGCUGCACCCGCUAGCCUUGCAGGAUUUCCUGGAAACACAGAUUUAAGUGUAGGUUUAUGGGCGUAGCCCUGUGAAGCCAGCAAGAUGGAACAGAGAUGGUGAAAUACUGAUACAGUCUCAACAGAGCUUCAGCCUGGGGAGCAGGAAUCCCUAAACUUGAGAUGGCCCUGAAGAGAUGCCUCAAAUGAAGAGGACCCAGGUUCAAUUCCCAGCAACCCCAU
Molecule: long non-coding RNA, 244 nt
Organism: Microtus ochrogaster (prairie vole)
Lineage: Eukaryota; Metazoa; Chordata; Mammalia; Rodentia; Cricetidae
Gene: L3mbtl1
Exons: 3
Source: RefSeq, a predicted model, not a curated record